AUUGAACGCUGGCGGCAUGCCUUACACAUGCAAGUCGAACGGCAGCACGGGAGCAAUCCUGGUGGCGAGUGGCGAACGGGUGAGUAAUAUAUCGGAACGUGCCCGGUCGUGGGGGAUAACGUAGCGAAAGCUACGCUAAUACCGCAUACGAUCUACGGAUGAAAGCGGGGGGAGUCGCAAGACCUCGCGCGAUUGGAGCGGCCGAUAUCAGAUUAGGUAGUUGGUGAGGUAAAGGCUCACCAAGCCGACGAUCUGUAGCUGGUCUGAGAGGACGACCAGCCACACUGGGACUGAGACACGGCCCAGACUCCUACGGGAGGCAGCAGUGGGGGAAUUUUGGACAAUGGGGCGCAAGCCUGAUCCAGCAAUGCCGCGUGCAGGAU
Molecule: ribosomal RNA, 383 nt
Filed under: uncultured bacterium
Lineage: Bacteria
Description: bacterial SSU rRNA
Rfam family: Bacterial small subunit ribosomal RNA
Source: RNAcentral